Molecule: long non-coding RNA, 1235 nt
Organism: Passer domesticus (house sparrow)
Lineage: Eukaryota; Metazoa; Chordata; Aves; Passeriformes; Passeridae
Exons: 4
Source: RefSeq, a predicted model, not a curated record
AUUGCUGUUGGCAUGCCAUGGAGGGGUUUUGCUCCUUUUUCUGAGGAUGGGUGAGCAUGGAUCUAUUCAGUGCAGUUGUUUUUUCUCUAAAGAACUACAAUAAUGCUUGAUGUACAGUUAGUUAUUUUAAUUCUUUUACACUACAAGAGAAGCUGACUUCUGCUGAGCAGCAGCCUCUGGUUUUCUGCAUUGAAUAAAGAAGAUGUUUUCAUUGGCUGCUAAACAACACAGUUCUGAUUUAUGAAAGGUCGUAACAAAAUGUUGCAAAGAGGUCGCAAGAUGUUUCUGCAGCUAAUUGAAUCAAAAAUUAUUUUCCUUCUUCAAGGUAUAUCUGGGAAAGCUCCCAAGGACUCAUCCCUCUCCUGGCUAGUCACUGAUCACUGGUUGCCAGUAACUUAUAACCCUGGGACCUCCAAGAACCUAUUACGACAGCGAAGUUAUAAAAUUUCAGAAACCCAGACCUGGACCUGGAAUUCAUCGCCACUAAAUUACAACCCUUUCAAGAAAUACUUUGAGAUACAUGGGAACUGAUGAGACUGCUCUUUAAAGAACAAAAUCAAAGAUGAUGAGUUCUAUAGGCAGUAUUGAGCUAGUUGUCAGUAAUUAGCUUCAGAUGAGAUUGUUGUCUUUAAUGUUUCUUGACUAUUCUUGGAUGAGUUGGAACAUACGAUGAAAGUGUAAUUACAGCCUUUGAUAUUUUGGUGGAUGUCUCAAUGCAUCCUGGAAGUACUCCAACAGGUUGUUUGGCCAAGUGGUUUGUGGGGUAGCUAGUCCUAUACAAAUAAAUAAAGAAAGAGAAAAUUUUUUAAUUGUUCAUGCAAUAAAUGGUCUCCUCACAUACAUUUUAUGAUGUGGUAUUUUAAGUGCAUCUAAGCAAAAGUCAAUCUAAUGAAAGAACAAAUGCUUUUUGUCUUUUAUGUGGAUUGUGUUACUUGUAUGCUUAUUGUGUUUUUUUAAAGUUCAGGCUUUUUGAUGCUAAUUAUUAAAACAAUGAGUUCAGUGUGUCUGGAGUGGAGGAAAAUGAGCAGUUUAAAGAAUACAGUCUGUGCAAGUGGAUUCUGAUAGGAUGUAUGUCAGUUUUGUGCUGGUAUAAGUACUGACACUCAGAUUACAUCUGUGCAAUUGCCAAUCAGGGCAUUAAUAUUUCUGUUUUUGAAAUUAUAUGUAAUUUCAGACAGUUUUUUUACAGUUUAGUUGAACAGCAAUUCUAAAAUAAAAUGUUGAAUUUAAAGACA